RNAcentral lists this ribosomal RNA (560 nucleotides) under fungal sp. TZ-2013. RNAcentral describes it as "eukaryotic LSU rRNA". The stretch from base 208 to 361 matches the Rfam family "5.8S ribosomal RNA". Lineage: Eukaryota; Fungi. The record is from RNAcentral.
UGUUAUUUUGCGUGGAAUUAAUCCAUCGAAUUGUCUUCUUGUAGUGGUGUGUCCUACGUGGAAUAAUCGCUCGAAAUGUCUUUUUUUGUAGUGGUGUGUCCUACGUGGAAUUAUAACUCGCUCGAAUAUCCUUUUCUCUUGUAGGAAGGGGCGUACCUACGUGGAAACGAAAUGCUUCAAAUAUGAUUUACAAAAACAAUAGUUUAAAACUUUCAACAACGGAUCUCUUGGUUCUGGCAUCGAUGAAGAACGCAGCGAAAUGCGAUAAGUAAUGUGAAUUGCAGAAUUCAGUGAAUCAUCGAAUCUUUGAACGCACAUUGCGCCCAUUAGUAUUCUAGUGGGCAUGCCUAUUCGAGCGUCAUUUCAACCCUUAAGCCCUGUUGCUUAGCGUUGGGAGCCUACGGCUUAGGCCGUAGCUCCUUAAAAUCAGUGGCGGAGUUGUAGCACACUCUAAGCGUAGUAAUUUACGCCUCGCUUCAAGAGUCGCUGCGGCUGCCUGCCGUAAAACCCCCUAUAUUUCUAAUGGUGACCUCGGAUUAGGAGGAAUUCCCCGUUCCUUG